Non-coding RNA from Cyprinodon variegatus (sheepshead minnow), 499 nucleotides. The record is from the annotation of a RefSeq genome assembly. Lineage: Eukaryota; Metazoa; Chordata; Actinopteri; Cyprinodontiformes; Cyprinodontidae.
AGACAUGAAGCUUCUGUUCAUCUCACUGUUUCUGGCUGCUGUGGGCCUCGAAUGCAGAGCACAGACAGAAAGCGUGCUGCAACCUGAUGGAGAUGUGACCGCUGCUGCUGGAGAAACUGCAACCCUGAGGUGCCUGUAUAACACCAGCUCCUCCAACCAUUAUCUCUUCUGGUACAGACAGAAGGGGAGCAGCAGCCCCCAGUUCAUCCUGAGCCGCUUCAAGGUUGGAGAAGGAAAAACUGAGGAGACGGAGAGAUUUUCAUCCAGUCUGGAUGCUACUGCUAGAUCAGUUCCUCUGCAGAUCCAUAAUCUCCGUCUGUCAGACUCUGCUGUGUACUACUGUGCUCUGCAGCCCACAGUGACAGGAAACACCAGAACUCUGUACAAUAACCUGCAAUACUCCACAACCUCCACUAGAGGGACUCACACACUGUUUGUCUAUGUUUUGUUUUUCCCAGUGCAACCAGCAAGAGACAGCAGAGGGCGGUUCCUCCUGUAG